This 5098-nucleotide unclassified non-coding RNA is filed under the name Anthonomus grandis grandis. Its description in RNAcentral is "eukaryotic translation initiation factor 4E-binding protein Mextli". Lineage: Eukaryota; Metazoa; Arthropoda; Insecta; Coleoptera; Curculionidae. The record is from RNAcentral.
AUUAAUAGAUUUUGAAUUAACGUUUUAUAUUUGCCAGUCAGUCAGACCGAGUAGACUAAAGCAGGAUAUUUACAAUUAAGUAAUUUUUGAUAAUGUGGUAACACUGUUCCUGCUGUCAUAAGAAAAAAUUGCGCACGACUCUUUUACUAAUUCACGCGCCGUCACGCAUGCGCCCCACAAAGGUGAAGUUCCUGAAUUUUUUCGUUCCUGCGUUGCAAAAUGCGAAUUUAGCAACCUACGGCGAGGUUCCAUAGAGAGGGUUUUCCGCGAAAACGGCGUAUUAAUUCCGAUAAUUGACAAGGACACACGGUCUUUGUUUCCCCCCAAAAACAAAACGAACAUGUCUUCGGGGUUGGCGUCCCGUUUGAAACAUCCCAAGAAACACGAACUGGUUAAGUCGCACAGUCAGGCCCAGCUGUUGGCAAAUAAAUUGAGACAGGAUGGAGUCAUGGUCGCAGUGGAUGGAGUAUUGCAAGCAGUUGACCAAGUGGCAGCCCUUCUAGCCUCAAAUAUUCCUGAUAUUAACUACAAAGAAAGCAUUAUGAAUAUGUGCCAACACCUUAAGGUGUAUGGUGCAUACUUAGAAAUAUUAUACAAAGAGCAGCUGGACCAUGCCUUCAAAAUAUUCAGGGACAAAGCCCAAGACGAGAUACGAGUCGAUAUGUUUUCACGAUUACAUUUAUUGCAACUAAUUGAACUGCGCGCGAAAGGUUGGAAAGGUACCGAUGGCAUGAACAUGUAUUACAAAAAGAAACUGAACCAGUGCUCCCAGGUUGAUCUCAGCGACUCGGUAACCAGCCUAAGCGACUCUAUGUCUUCAGUAUUAACAUUAAACCCUUCGCCACCCAUGUUAGGACCAGGCGAAGUGAUCAAACCAUCCGGAAAGUUUGCUAAACCUACCAGGAUACCUGGCAAAAAGUAUUGUAAGGAUGAGGUGGUCAUAAGGAACGCUGACUCAGGCAAAGUGAUGGGGAUCAAAGGCAGACGGGUUCAUAUGAUAGAGGAACUAAGUGAGACUAUCAUAUCCUUCCAGAGAGUUAGUCCUGGUGCCAAGGAGCGUUUGGUACAAAUCACCGGGGCUAACGAGGAAAGUAUUAAUCAUGCGAAGCAACUUAUCGAGGACACGAUAAGGAGAAACGCGUCUCCGGUACGCGAAGGUAGUACCGGGGUUGGCGGACCUCUGACCGGUUCCAGUUCCAGUAUCAAUUCAUCAGCUUCCGACGACAGCGCUUUGCCGUCUUCGGCCAGAGUUUCCAGAGCUCUGAUGCACAGUCUGAGCACCCCCGAUGCCAACCUCGGGGAGUACAAGUAUACCGUUAUCGCUAACGGGCACACUAUUAAGAUUACCGGGGAUAAUCUGGAUCUAGUUCGGACAAGCAAGCUGGUACUCGACGAGUACUUCUCCGGCGAGCCGAUCCACGACAUGGCCCAGUUUUACAGUUUCGACAGUUUGCCGCAGCCGAUGUUGCCCGACGAUUUGGAAAACCCUCUCUCGCCCCCCGAAUCGUUGCCCUCGCCGGGGCCGACCGUUAACGGGCAACCCGGUGCGACGACCCCGCCGCUGACCGCAUCCGCCCCCUUAACUUCGACGGCGGCCAAAGAUAACGACACAGGUAACGAUUAGUUAAGUCCGUUUUUCUUUUCUUUCAUCUUUUUUGUUCAAGUGUAAAAUCCAUUCAGGACAUCAUCACACGGAUUCGAGUUUUUAUUUGGAAUUCUGGUAACUGUGUAUGAGAACAAUAUACCUGUGCCAUAAUUUGGAGAAACUAUUUCAGUGCUAUGGUAUCGUUUUUUUUUAAUCAAAUUUUAAUUUCGUUAACGUACACUGUGUCCAAUUUUAGAUGAUAUUGCAGGGUAUCUCUGUCAUUUUUUAAGAUAUAGCUUUGCGAUUUUCGCAACCCUGUAUCACUUUUUUGUAAAACUGUGAAAGCCACAAAAAAAAUAUUCCAACUACUUUUGUUCCUGAAAUACAGUGUUCUUGAACCUUUGUAGAGAUUUUUCUGCCCGACUCUCCUAUGUAAAUAGAGUUGCAUUCUUCACAACACAUUGAGUAAACCCUCGAUUUUGCUUUGCUUUUAACUUAUUUUUUAAAAAGUUUAAUUGACUCAGGCUUGUCUGAUUCUGUAUCUCUGUUUGAACCAUCUCCCCAUUUGCAGCAAAAAUGUAAGAUUUAAAAAUCAUAUUCUUUAUUUUUUUUAAGUCUUUAUGUGUAGUAGGUAUGUCAGUUUCUCGUUCUUUAUUAGAUGUGAAUGCAGAGAUUGAAGUUCGGGAUUGGGAGUGUUGACUAUUUGUUUCUAGCGAAGUUUUAAGUAUGCUAUCGAAUUUUCUUUCAUAUUAUUGCUUUUUCUUAGUCGAAGGAAUGGCUUUGUGUAGAUACUUAUGUGAAGUGUCUAUUCUCAGAUCGUUCAUUAAGGGAUAUAAUUUUUUGGGCAUUUAUUAGGCAUCAUAAUAAGUUUUUUGUAAUUUAUAUAGUGAAACCUAAUUAGGUCUUUCUUGUAAGGUCUUCUGUGAAAAAAAAUCUCUUUAAAAUCUCAAUUUUUGAUUGAAUUUAUAGAAAAGCAACAAAAGGGUUUUAGUGGGACAUCCUGUAAUGUUAAAUGAUCGUAAUUGUGUAUCUACAGUAUUGGUCAUAAUAGUUGGAACUUUUGAAAAUUUAUUAUAUUUUGUGUGCCUUUUAAUUAGCAUUUUAUUUUCUUUUAUAAAGUUGUUGUAUACGAAAAACUAGUGUUAAUUAAUUUAAGUGUUGACAAAAAUUCAGCACCCGUAGCAGUUCGGAAUAAAAAUUAAAAAAAAGCUGGACAAAAUACUUGGAACUGUUUUUUUUUUCAAAAACGACAUAAAACAUAACUUAUUGAAACCAUUAUAUUAUAAUUAAUAUUUGGUAUGGUAACCCUUAGCAUUAAUUACUGUCUGCAUUCUUCUGGGCAUUGAUUCAACCAAAUUUUCAAUUAUUUGUCUGUCAAUGUGAGUCCAGGCUUCAACAAGCUUAUGAAAUAGUUCAUCAGCCUUUUUGACUGUUCCAGAUGCCCGAAUUUUGCGAUCCAGAUGUUCCCAUAAAUUUACAAUCGGGUUUAAGUCUGGACUCUGGGCCGGCCAUUUUAAAACUGUGAUCUUUUCUUGGUCCAACCAUUCUUUUACCAAUUUUGACGAAUGUUUUGGAUCAUUAUCAUGCUGGAAUACAAAAUUUACUGACAUAGACUCAAAUGUGUAAGGCUCCAUUAUAUUUCGCAAAAUAUCCCGAUACAUAAAUCGAUCCAUUUUCCCCACAAUUUUAUGUAUUGGCCCAGUACCAUACCAAGAAAAGCAUCCCCAUACUAUCACAUUACCACCUCCAUGUUUAACCGUAGGUCGGAUAAACUUUUUCUUGAGUCUUUCACUUUUUCGGUCGUCUUACAUGAAGUAUUCCAUCACUGGAAAACAGAUUGAACUUAGAUUCGUCACUGAAUAGCACUUUUUUCCAAUUUUGUACAGUCCAACUUGACAUUUUUCUUCUGCAGCAAAGGUUUUUUAGCAGGUCUGUAGCUGUUAAGUCCAUCAGAACACAAUCGCCUGCUUACCGUUCUUGCAGAGAUAUUGGAAGGCUCACCUUCAUUUAAUUUUUGUAAAAUUUUGGAGAAUGACAAAAAUGGGUCAUUCUGGGAAAUAUUUAAAAUUCGCCUACUAUUUACACGGGCAGUCGUGGCUUUAGGUCUUCCAGUGCUUUUACCUGGUACCACAUUUCCAAAUAUACGAUAUUUCUUAAUUAUCCGUAACACGGUGUUCUACGUUUAGUCUUUGAGCAAUAAAAUUAAAAACUUAAAUUUUUAAAAGUUCCAACUUUUAAGGCCAAUACUGUACGUGUUCGGUUGAUUUUAUUUAGGCACGGAUUGCUUCACUAAAAAGAAGAAAAGAGCUGGGCAUUUUUAAAAUAAAUUUUCUAACCACAAUAUAUUUUAUAUAUCCACAUCUUUUCUAUUAUUGAAUUACAUUAGGAUCACACCUUUUAACUCGGUUUAAAAAAGUAACUAUUGAAGUAAUUUGAUUUUAUUUGACUUGAAAACGAUAGUAGAUUUAACUAUUGAUACGUUGUUUUCUGUUAAGUAGGAUAUUAGAAAUAAGAAACUCUGAGGGAAACUAUUAUACCUUAUUUAAAUUUGUAUUUGAGAUUGAUUGAACUUAUAUUAAAUUAAAUAACGAAAGGUUUGAGUUGGUAUUUCUUCUGAAUAUGUGAAAAAGUUUACUUUCUGCCUUUCAAUAAUAGUUUAUUUAAUAAUAACAUAAUAGCUAAUAAAUUAAUUAACUUAAUAUGAAUUCAUCAUAGAAAUAUAGAUUAAUAACGAUAUUUUUUCAUCAACAUUUAACAACAACAGUUAAAGUUCUAUAAUGCUUAAAAAGCUUCAUUUUGAUUCUUUUAGGAAAUUACUGGGCUAUUUAAUUAAUUUAUUAAAUAUUAAAUACGUGAGGUAAUGGCCGAUAAAUGGCAAUUUUUUUUUCUGGCAGAAAAGAAAACACUACACACUCGAUUCUGUAGCGCAUUUCUGUUUUAUGUAAUCUAGAUUAAAGUUUUCUUUGCUUACUAAUUGAUAUGUAUUAAAAAAACCAUUUAUUGUAUGCUAUCUAAAAUUUGUCGACAUUUGAUGAAUUUCCAACAUCAUAGAAAUUAGAUUUUAAUAUUUUCUUGAUAAAAUUAAUAUUUUGAAAUUAUAUUGAAGUCUAAAAAGUCCAGAGAGACGUGUGAGGACUUGUUUAGUAUCUAGGUAGAAGAACUCAUCAGAUACAUCUGAUAUACAAUUUAUUCAUAAACACCACAGUGUUUAUGGGUAAAUUGAUUGAGUGUUAAAUGAAUGCUAUUUGUUUCAGCAAGAAUAAAUAGUUUCCUUGAGCUUUAAUUUGACCCAUUUACCCACAAAACAUCUAUCUUAUUUUAACAUAAAAUUUUAACGAAAAAAUAAAAAAUAAUUUUAAACGAGUAUGGAGAAUACUGUAAAAAAAAAGUGAAAAAUAAAGAAAGAAAUUAAGUUGAUGUCCUGAAUGGUUUCUAUAUUAUGUGUUUUUAACAUUUUGUAAAUAUUUCAAUAAUUCUCAGGAUGUAGUAGGAAAUAAAGUGUUUGAUUGGCAA